GGUGAUUAGCUCAGCUGGGAGAGCACCUCCCUUACAAGGAGGGGGUCGGCGGUUCGA
This 57-nucleotide transfer RNA is filed under the name Escherichia coli 96.0932. Its description in RNAcentral is "partial tRNA-OTHER". The stretch from base 7 to 57 matches the Rfam family "tRNA", at positions 8 to 56 of the family's 71-position model. Rfam says of the family: Transfer RNA (tRNA) molecules are approximately 80 nucleotides in length. Their secondary structure includes four short double-helical elements and three loops (D, anti-codon, and T loops). The record is from RNAcentral. Lineage: Bacteria; Pseudomonadati; Pseudomonadota; Gammaproteobacteria; Enterobacterales; Enterobacteriaceae.